GUACGUAGGGAGCGAGCGUUGUCCGGAUUUACUGGGUGUAAAGGGUGCGUAGGCGGCUCUGCAAGUCAGGUGUGAAAACCAUCGGCUUAACUGAUGGACUGCAUUUGACACUGUGGGGCUUGCGUGGAGUAGAGGCAGACGGAAUUCCCGGUGUAGCGGUGGAAUGCGUAGAGAUCGGGAAGAACACCAGUGGCGAAGGCGGUCUGCUGGGCUCUAACUGACGCUGAGGCACGAAAGCAUGGGUAGCAAACAGGAGGAGAGACCCUGGUAGUCCAUGCCGUAAACGAUGAUUACUAGGUGUGGGGAGUCUGACCCUCGCCGUGCCGGAGUUAACACAAUAAGUAAUCCACCGGGGAAGUACGACCGCAAGGUUGAA
Molecule: ribosomal RNA, 376 nt
Filed under: uncultured bacterium
Lineage: Bacteria
Description: bacterial SSU rRNA
Rfam family: Bacterial small subunit ribosomal RNA
Source: RNAcentral